RNAcentral lists this ribosomal RNA (429 nucleotides) under Conus sponsalis. RNAcentral describes it as "partial 16S ribosomal RNA". It matches the Rfam family "Bacterial large subunit ribosomal RNA", at positions 1928 to 2568 of the family's 2925-position model. Lineage: Eukaryota; Metazoa; Mollusca; Gastropoda; Neogastropoda; Conidae. The record is from RNAcentral.
CGGCCGCGGNACUCUGACCGUGCAAAGGUAGCAUAAUCAUUUGCCUUAUAAUUGAAGGCUGGAAUGAAUGGUUUGACAAGAAUACCCCUGUCUCUUUUAGAUUAUUUAGAACUUUAUUUUUGGAUGAAAAAGUCCAGAUAUAAUUAAUAGACAAGAAGACCCUAUCGAGCUUUAGAGAAGUUAGUAAACUUAAUACGAGUCGAUAUAAGUAAAAGAAAGGUUGCUAAACACUUUGGUUGGGGCAACCGAGGAGCAGACAAAGCCUCCUUUGAUCNUACAAAUCUUACCCGUGUUGAUCCAAUAAUUUUGAUCAAAGGAAUUAGUUACCGUAGGGAUAACAGCAUAAUCUUUUUCAAGAGCCCAUAUCGAAAAAAAGGUUUGUGACCUCGAUGUUGGACCAGAAUAUCCUNNNNAUGCAGAAGUCUUCAA